Hordeum vulgare subsp. vulgare (domesticated barley) is the source of this 1792-nucleotide long non-coding RNA. RefSeq lists it as uncharacterized. Lineage: Eukaryota; Viridiplantae; Streptophyta; Magnoliopsida; Poales; Poaceae. The record is from RefSeq and is a predicted model, not a curated record. The transcript has 3 exons.
CCAAGUAGAAUGCUUGGAUUCUGUGCAGCCAACUGCCUCAUUGAUGUGGAAUCACCAGUGCUGGCUGCGUUCAGAAGACGCUUGUCCAUGUACAUCUUGACAGAAACAGUCCAAGUGGAAUCAGCAGGAUCUGAUUCACAGAUUGAACAAUACUCUAGUAUAUUCUUGAUAGACGGAAUUUUUGAAAUUCAGUGACAUAUAUUUCUUAGAUUUAUGAAACUUGAGUUGUCACUUUCAUUGCAUAUCCUACCUAUGGCAUGGGAAAUAAUAUUCAUAGCUGUACUCUUUGUGGUGAGUAGCAGGGGGAGUGGUAGCUGACUAAUUGAACGAGUUCUAGCUAGGAUAGCGACCAAACGCGUGCCACUAAAAUAAGAGCAAGUAAAAAUAACUGACAUUAGGCUGAGUGAAAAAAUCAGGCUAACAAUGGAAGAAACGAGCCAACUGUAGCCCAAAACAAGAGAAGCUUAGAGCACAAUGUUCCUGGUUAAAUAGCACGUACCUCGCAAAAUAGCAGAGAUUGCGUAUGUAGUAGUCGCGCAAUGAAGAGUGCAGCUUGUACACUGAUGGCAAGAGAACUUAAAGAUGCUGGAGGUCAGGGCAGCAUCUCAAUCAUUCAGCUAAUUUAGGUAUCUAAGCUUUUAGGAUUAGCCAUGUGAUGGAGAACCUUUGAUAAAGUUUUUGAAACGGGGAGCCAGGUUUAACAAAGUAGGAUUAUCCAUACCCUUAUAACAAUAAAAAAUAUAUAUCAUCCAUAACCUUUCAGUAUUAGGCAUGUGAUGGAGCUAACCUUUAGGAUUGAUUAAGUAGCACACAAGAUGCAUGCCUGCCUAAAAUAGAUUACUGUUUCAUACUGUCAACUUUAGUACGUACGUGCUUGCCGGGCAUGUUCGCAAUAUCUGUUCUCUGAUAAAUUAUAUUAGAUCAGUCCUCGCGCACAACUAGUUCUGGGAGGAUGGGCUUUGAUAUAGUAAUUUACAGCAGCUUGUCCAUCAUAUAUCUGACUUUAUAGGUUACUAAUUUACUAUGUACUACUUACUGGAAGACACCGGAGUUGGAAUGAUGGAUCAUAUCAAACGUAGUAUCAUAACUGAAUCUUCUGUACGCAGGAUGAUAUUUUUAGUCUGUAAUUUUAGCCUCCAGAAACUUCAGUUCAGAUAAAAUUCUUCCAGAAUAACUGCCCUAGUAGAAGUGCUUACUAUCAGGUUUACAUCUGUCCAACAUAUUACUUUACCGCUUGUUUUUUGGUUGUAUCUUUGAGACUGAACUUCAGGAUCCAACCUUUCUGAAGAAUUACUUGGUUUGCAUACCAUAACCGUGCCUUUGGUCUUGCUUUGCUGUAUCCUGUGCCAUGGACUUCCACAUACCCUGACAGAAGAGGGCAUGGACUUCCACAUAUCAGAAGGCUUUCAAAGCUAUAUCAAACGCAUCAUAUUUGAAUCCUUUGUACAGGAAGAUGAUAUUUUUCGUCUAUAAUAUUCAACUACUACUGUAUUUGUUUAGCCUCCAGGAACUGCAGUUCAGGUGCCAAUGGACUUCCACAAACCCUGACAGAAGAAAGGCAUGUUCAUAUGGCCAAGCCUUAGAGGCUAGAGCUCUAUCAAGAUUUCCUGGGUUCUUCGGUAUUUUCUCCUCCAAAUGGAAUGACCUCAUCCACCCAGAGCUUGCAAUUUUCUGUUGGAUGGAAAUACCAUUUUGUCCCCUCUGCUUUUGAAUUAUUACCGCAACGGCAUGAUGCUUAUAUCAAAUAAGGUGCAUGAUCUUGUUAUAGCAAAAUAAACAAAUUUGCAUGAUA